This is a long non-coding RNA of Homo sapiens (human), 902 nucleotides long. Lineage: Eukaryota; Metazoa; Chordata; Mammalia; Primates; Hominidae. The record is from Ensembl.
GGUUCAAACGCUGCUGCCGACGCGCACUGUAUAGCUGCAUAAGCUGCUCGUAGGGCACGUCCAGCAUCUGGUCCAGGCCCACACCGCGAUUCAAGGGGUACAUGUACAGUUUUGUUACACUGCAUAUUGAUGAAGUCUGGACUUUUAGUGUACCCAUCACCCAAGUUAUGAACAUUGUACCCAAGAGAAAAAAAGGUUUACCACAGUGGCUCAAGGAAAACGGAACCAGAGUAAGACAGUUUCUACUUGGACUUGGGGAACCAGCAAACUCAUUCACUUACAAUCAAGAACAAACCGAUUAAAUUGAAUAAAGGUCACUCAAAGGAGCCAAGCCCCUUUGUCAAAUCAGGAGCUCCAUCAGCCAAUCAGGAACCCAGAUGCCAGCGUGGGAGUUUGUCAGUGGAAAUAACAUUGCAUGACUUCCAAGUCUGGUUUCUUCAUUUGCAAGAUAUCAACCCAAUAGGAUUGUGACUGAAAUCAAAUGAGGCACCCAAGUCUAAUAUGAGAAAAACAUGAGAAAAAUUCCAGGAGGGGGACAUUCUACAAAAUACCUGACCAGUACAUCUCAAAAUUGUCACGAUCAUCAACAAGGAAAGAUUGAGAUACUGUCAUAGCCAAGAGACGCCAAAGGAAAAAUGACAACUAAAUGUAAUGUGGUAUCCUGGAUAAGAUCCUGGAAUGGAAUAGAAAAUGGGCAUUGGGUAGAAACUGAAUAAAGUAGAGACUUUAGUUAAUAACAGUAUGUUGAUGUUGGUUUAAUAAUUGUAACAAAGGUACCAUAUUAAUGUAAGAUGUUAACAAUCAGAGUAACUGGAUUCAGGGUAUAUGGAAACUUUCCAUUCUAUUUUCUUAAUUUUUCUAUGAAUCUAAAACCAAAAACUAAAGUCUACUUAAAAAAAAAA